This 3268-nucleotide long non-coding RNA is filed under the name Equus caballus (horse). Its description in RNAcentral is "lncRNA (ENSECAG00000052108.1)". The record is from RNAcentral. Lineage: Eukaryota; Metazoa; Chordata; Mammalia; Perissodactyla; Equidae.
AGGAAUUCUAAAGAAAAGUAAAAUUGGGUACAUGUCCCAAGUGGUUCAGGUUAAUGCCUCCCAACAUUUUUUAGUUUAAAACCUCAGAAAGACUCCAAAACACCAUCUCCUUAGGUUUAACCCUAACUCAAGAUUAAGAGCCCAUGGUCUCUCCACUCCACCAAUCUCAUUAUCUGCAGGUGUUGUGUUGGGCGCCAUGAGGAAAAGAGAGAGAUGCGUACCCAGAAUUGGAAUUGCAGGAUGAAACGGCCCUGCCUCUUGAGCUCCAUCUCAGCUCUCCUUCCACUCUGCUAGCUUUGCUAACAUCUCUUCAGCCUUCAAAACCCCAACUACUACCUCAUCUGGGAAGCCUUCUUGACUACCCCACCUCCAUCACGACCACUUUGGAGUUCACCUGCCCUCCUCCGGGCCUCCUGGGCCUCACACAGGCCUCAGUCAGCCCCCAUCACCCGCUGUAGGGCAAGUAACCUGUCUACACAGCUGCUCCUCCUCGGCACUCUGAGCACCUUCAAGGUCUAACGAUCCAGAGAGUUCCAGAAUGGAUUCAUGUGACUUGGCCUUUUUGGAACUGGACCACCUUGGAGAUCAUCUGGGAGAGGGCACUGAGACCUGCAGAAAUGGAAUGGCCUACCCAGGACACAUCUAGAAGAUUAAGAGACACUGGGGUAACAUAGGGAUGCUGGACUGGGAGUCCUAGACCUCCUGGUCCUGGCUCUACCAUGACGCAUGCUGCCCUGCUGAGCCCACGCCUUUGCCCCUGGGACGCAGAACAUGCCAGGCAGGCAUCUCCCACCUGCCUCUCCAUGCGGGCAGGGAGACUAGCCCUCACUGAGUCCCGAGCUCUGGGACACAAGCUUUACCUCCCUCGUUUUAUUUGAUCCUCCCAACAAGCCUGUGUCAUCUUACAGGUGAGAAAACCGAGGCCUGGAGAAGUCCAAGAAUUCUCCUAAACUCAUCUAGCUAAUGGUAGUGCUGGGUUUCAAACCAGCUUCCUCUGACUCCCAAGCCCAAGCCCUCUCCAUUCCACCAACAGGCCCCUGAUCUCUGCGGCCCAGGUUCCUCCACAUCUAGCUCUCCUGGGACCUCAAGGUAGCAGACGUCAGUGCGCGUUGCUGCUGAGUCCGGUGCUCACCAUUAGGCAGACAAGGAGACCCGAGUGGUGCAGGCCUGAGGCCCUCCACACUAAGGAAGGCGGGCGUAAGCAGAGUGGGGAAGAGGCCACUGUCGACAGCUCUCCUCUGGGGCACCGAAUCUCAGGGGCACAACAAAAGAGAGGGAGCUGUUUAAUAAUUACAGCUGUCUUGUUCAGAGUGACAGGGAGAGAAAUAUUGCUGGGGAGGAAAGCAUAAAAGAAAGAGGCAAAGGAGGACUGGAGUAGCCUUCAGGGAGGGUUGCAUGGAGCCAAGGAGGGCGCGAAGGUCCAUGGUGAGCCCUGGCGUCCAGCAGGUGAGCCUCCUGCUGCCUGCUGCUUUCCUCCAUCCCGCACCCCUCAACAGCUGCCCCGGAUGCUGCAUGUCUGCAGGCCACAGGCCUGCUCCCAAGGAUGCCCGCGUCCACGCAGGAGGAGCAGGGACCCGCCCUCCUCUCUCGGAUCUCUGUUCUUUUUAUAACCAAGCUUGCAAGCAGCAAGGGAUAAGCUGAGCCAUUAGAAGGGUCUCACCCCAGCUCCUGUCUUGGUCCCUGCAGCUGGUCAGAGGCUUCUGCAGCCACUGGAACAUUGCUGUCUGGACCCUGCCCCCACCCCCAGCAGCCUGGGCGGUCCACUGCUUUACCUCAUCCCGUUUCCAUGAAUACCGGGUGCUCAGCAAGGACAGGGGAGCCCACUGAUGGAACCCUGAGGGUCUCCUCUCUAGUUGUGAGCCAGCUUCGAAGGUGACAGAUGAGCUAAUUAACCCCAGGAGCCACCAGGCCCGCCCCUCCCUGUCUUGUUCAUCCCAGCUCCUCCCAACCCAUCUUUCUGGCCCAGACCCCGUAUCUUCGUUGCAGCCUCAAAUAGCUGUGUUUCCGAAAUGUAAAGUGCGGUUUCUCUUCUAAUUACAAAAAUAACAGCUGACAAACACGUGCCAGAGCUCCCCUCUUUUUCUCCUGAGCUAACAGCCCCAUUAGGACAGAUCCUGUUAUCGUCUAUGCCCUCUCCAUAUAUUUUAUGGAACAGCCUCAAAAGUGCUCUGCGUCGGGCUCUCCCUCCCUCUCUUUCUUUUUCAAGGCAAUGGCUUUGUGAAAGCUGAGGGGAAAAAUAAAGCCUUUUACUAAAAUGUCACUCUGGGAAAAGGGGGGAAAUUUCCUAAUAGGCCAUGGAAGGCUUGCUUUUUUUUUUUAAGUGUGAUAAAUUUGGCCUGUCUUAAAAAGACAGCUCACUGUUGCUUAUCAACUGUGAUUUGACCAGAUAGCCGUUUCAAAAAAUAGACACUGGUCUUUUUAUAAUAAAUGAAAGCAAUAAAACCAAGAGCUGGGCCAGAACUAUAAUUAAGAAUCAGAAGCUGAAAAGGGUGGGUGUGUCACUGCAGGGCAGAGUCCAGUCAUGGGCAGGAGGAGUGGGCCAGGCUGGCCGGGAGGCCUGGGGACAACCCCCAUCCCAAGGGGAGGUGCCUCUGUUGUCCCCACUCUCCCCUUCUUUUUCCUUCUCAUUUUGGGAGAGUUCCUUCCCUGGGCAGAUGGACAGAUGGGCCCGGGGGUGGGGAGGAUGGCCGAGGAGGGGCUCAUCGCCCACCCCCUACGCCAAAUCCAGCGCCUAUUUGAAACGCAGCCAGAAAUCCCCCUCCCUGCUCUGUCUGUGCACAAUAAACGUCCCAGACUCGCUACUCCUAAAGAGCUGUCUGUUGAACACAAUCUCCAUCUCAAGCGGCUGUUUUGCAUUUCCUUUUGGCUUUAUUAAAACUGAUUUUCUAUUUGCACUAUAAAAACUGAUCUGAUUAAAUUUCCAUUCUUCCCCAAAGAAAAGACUCUUCUCUGUCUCUCUCUCACCCUCUCUCUCCCUCUCUCCCAUCUCUGUCUCUCCAUCUCUCCCCUGUCUCCCUCCCUCUCCGAUCUCCCUCUCUCUCCUCUCUUUCUCUCUCUCUCCCUCUCUCUCUUUCUCUCCUCUCUCUCUUCCUCUAUCUCUCCUCCCUCUCUCUCUGUCUCCUUCUCUCCCCUCCAUCUCUCCUUCACCUUCCUAUCUUUUCUCCCGCCCGCUCUACCUCUUCCUCCUUUUUUUCUUUCCCUAAACAACUAAUUCUUGAUCAUUCUCCCUCCUCAUCUCUCUCUUAUCCCCGCACAGGGUCCCCAUCAC